This 491-nucleotide ribosomal RNA is filed under the name uncultured bacterium. RNAcentral describes it as "partial 16S ribosomal RNA". It matches the Rfam family "Bacterial small subunit ribosomal RNA", at positions 29 to 507 of the family's 1533-position model. The record is from RNAcentral.
GUGAACGCUGGCGGUAGGCCUAACACAUGCAAGUCGAACGGCAGCACAGUAAGAGCUUGCUCUUACGGGUGGCGAGUGGCGGACGGGUGAGGAAUACAUCGGAAUCUACUUUUUCGUGGGGGAUAACGUAGGGAAACUUACGCUAAUACCGCAUACGACCUACGGGUGAAAGCAGGGGAUCUUCGGACCUUGCGCGAUUGAAUGAGCCGAUGUCGGAUUAGCUAGUUGGCGGGGUAAAGGCCCACCAAGGCGACGAUCCGUAGCUGGUCUGAGAGGAUGAUCAGCCACACUGGAACUGAGACACGGUCCAGACUCCUACGGGAGGCAGCAGUGGGGAAUAUUGGACAAUGGGCCCAACCCUGAUCCAGCCAUACCGCGUGGGUGAAGAAGGCCUUCGGGUUGUAAAGCCCUUUUGUUGGGAAAGAAAAGCAGCAGGUUAAUACCCCGCUGUUCUGACGGUACCCAAAGAAUAAGCACCGGCUAACUUCGUG